GUGUGUGUGUGUGUGUGUGUGUAUUUAGCAGUCUGUGUACUCAGCAGUCUGCUAAAUACAGACAGACUGCUAAAUACACACAGACAGACUG
Pelobates cultripes (western spadefoot toad) is the source of this 91-nucleotide non-coding RNA. The record is from the annotation of a GenBank genome assembly. Lineage: Eukaryota; Metazoa; Chordata; Amphibia; Anura; Pelobatidae.